GGCUCAGGAUGAACGCUGGCGGCGUGCUUAAUACAUGCAGUCGAGCGAAUGGAUUAAGAGCUUGCUCUUAUGAAGUUAGCGGCGGACGGGUGAGUAACACGUGGGUAACCUGCCCAUAAGACUGGGAUAACUCCGGGAAACCGGGGCUAAUACCGGAUAACAUUUUGAACCGCAUGGUUCGAAAUUGAAAGGCGGCUUCGGCUGUCACUUAUGGAUGGACCCGCGUCGCAUUAGCUAGUUGGUGAGGUAACGGCUCACCAAGGCAACGAUGCGUAGCCGACCUGAGAGGGUGAUCGGCCACACUGGGACUGAGACACGGCCCAGACUCCUACGGGAGGCAGCAGUAGGGAAUCUUCCGCAAUGGACGAAAGUCUGACGGAGCAACGCCGCGUGAGUGAUGAAGGCUUUCGGGUCGUAAAACUCUGUUGUUAGGGAAGAACAAGUGCUAGUUGAAUAAGCUGGCACCUUGACGGUACCUAACCAGAAAGCCACGGCUAACUACGUGCCAGCAGCCGCGGUAAUACGUAGGUGGCAAGCGUUAUCCGGAAUUAUUGGGCGUAAAGCGCGCGCAGGUGGUUUCUUAAGUCUGAUGUGAAAGCCCACGGCUCAACCGUGGAGGGUCAUUGGAAACUGGGAGACUUGAGUGCAGAAGAGGAAAGUGGAAUUCCAUGUGUAGCGGUGAAAUGCGUAGAGAUAUGGAGGAACACCAGUGGCGAAGGCGACUUUCUGGUCUGUAACUGACACUGAGGCGCGAAAGCGUGGGGAGCAAACAGGAUUAGAUACCUUG
Molecule: ribosomal RNA, 787 nt
Filed under: Bacillus anthracis (anthrax bacterium)
Lineage: Bacteria; Bacillati; Bacillota; Bacilli; Caryophanales; Bacillaceae
Description: bacterial SSU rRNA
Rfam family: Bacterial small subunit ribosomal RNA
Source: RNAcentral